UCCUACGGGAGGCAGCAGUAGGGAAUCUUCCGCAAUGGACGAAAGUCUGACGGAGCAACGCCGCGUGAGUGAUGAAGGCUUUCGGGUCGUAAAACUCUGUUGUUAGGGAAGAACAAGUGCUAGUUGAAUAAGCUGGCACCUUGACGGUACCUAACCAGAAAGCCACGGCUAACUACGUGCCAGCAGCCGCGGUAAUACGUAGGUGGCAAGCGUUAUCCGGAAUUAUUGGGCGUAAAGCGCGCGCAGGUGGUUUCUUAAGUCUGAUGUGAAAGCCCACGGCUCAACCGUGGAGGGUCAUUGGAAACUGGGAGACUUGAGUGCAGAAGAGGAAAGUGGAAUUCCAUGUGUAGCGGUGAAAUGCGUAGAGAUAUGGAGGAACACCAGUGGCGAAGGCGACUUUCUGGUCUGUAACUGACACUGAGGCGCGAAAGCGUGGGGAGCAAACAGGAUUAGAUACCCUGGUAGUCCACGCCGUAAACGAUGAGUGCUAAGUGUUAGAGGGUUUCCGCCCUUUAGUGCUGAAGUUAACGCAUUAAGCACUCCGCCUGGGGAGUACGGCCGCAAGGCUGAAACUCAAAUGAAUU
This 584-nucleotide ribosomal RNA is filed under the name uncultured bacterium. RNAcentral describes it as "bacterial SSU rRNA". It matches the Rfam family "Bacterial small subunit ribosomal RNA", at positions 337 to 911 of the family's 1533-position model. The record is from RNAcentral.